Molecule: ribosomal RNA, 700 nt
Filed under: uncultured bacterium
Lineage: Bacteria
Description: bacterial SSU rRNA
Rfam family: Bacterial small subunit ribosomal RNA
Source: RNAcentral
AGAGUUUGAUCCUGGCUCAGAACGAACGCUGGCGGCAUGCCUGACACAUGCGAGUCGAACGAACCCUUCGGGGUUAGUGGCGCACGGGUGCGUAACGCGUGGGUAUCUGCCCUUGAGUUCGGAAUAACAGUUAGAAAUGACUGCUAAUACCGGAUGAAGUCUUCGGACCAAAGAUUUAUCGCCCAGGGAUGAGCCCGCGUAGGAUUAGGUAGUUGGUGGGGUAAAGGCCUACCAAGCCGACGAUCCUUAGCUGGUCUGAGAGGAUGAUCAGCCACACUGGGACUGAGACACGGCCCAGACUCCUACGGGAGGCAGCAGUGGGGAAUAUUGGACAAUGGGGGAAACCCUGAUCCAGCAAUGCCGCGUGAGUGAUGAAGGCCUUCGGGUCGUAAAGCUCUUAUACCAGGGAUGAUAAUGACAGUACCUGGAGAAUAAGCUCCGGCUAACUCCGUGCCAGCAGCCGCGGUAAUACGGAGGGAGCUAGCGUUGUUCGGAAUUACUGGGCGUAAAGCGCACGUAGGCGGUUACUCAAGUCAGAGGUGAAAGCCCGGGGCUCAACCCCGGAACUGCCUUUGAAACUAGGUGACUUGAAUCUUGGAGAGGCGAGUGGAAUUCCGAGUGUAGAGGUGAAAUUCGUAGAUAUUCGGAAGAACACCAGUGGCGAAGGCGACUCGCUGGACAAGUAUUGACGCUGUGGUGC